RNAcentral lists this long non-coding RNA (326 nucleotides) under Setaria viridis. Its description in RNAcentral is "long non-coding RNA (SVIR_LNC001645)". The record is from RNAcentral. Lineage: Eukaryota; Viridiplantae; Streptophyta; Magnoliopsida; Poales; Poaceae.
ACUUGAAGAACAGGAUUUGGUUUGCCGAUUCAGACACACAUAGGAAACCAUGGCUAUCAUGCGCGGCGGAUCGAUUAGCACAGCAGCCGGCGAAAUGACUGGAUCCGCGUCCGGAUCCGAUCAGUAGUCGUCGUCGUAGCCGCCGCCGUAAUCGUCGUAGCCGCCCCCGUAGCCGCCGCCGCCGCCGUACGAGUCCUCCCUCUCCAGCUUCUCCUCCACCCUCUCCGAGACGCGCUCCUCCAACUUGUUCUCCAGCAAGCUCGCCCCGCCGGCCAGCGCCAGGCCCCCGAGCACGCCCGCCGCCGCGCCGACGGCCAACCCCGUCC